GGGGUUGUGGCUCAGAGAUAGAGCACUCACCUAGCAUGUGUGAGGCACUGGGUUCAAUCCUCAGCACCA
RNAcentral lists this transfer RNA (69 nucleotides) under Ictidomys tridecemlineatus (thirteen-lined ground squirrel). RNAcentral describes it as "Spermophilus tridecemlineatus (thirteen-lined ground squirrel) tRNA". It matches the Rfam family "tRNA". From Rfam's summary of the family: Transfer RNA (tRNA) molecules are approximately 80 nucleotides in length. Their secondary structure includes four short double-helical elements and three loops (D, anti-codon, and T loops). Further hydrogen bonds mediate the characteristic L-shaped molecular structure. tRNAs have two regions of fundamental functional importance: the anti-codon, which is responsible for specific mRNA codon recognition, and the 3' end, to which the tRNAs corresponding amino acid is attached (by aminoacyl-tRNA synthetases). tRNAs cope with the degeneracy of the genetic code in two manners: having more than one tRNA (with a specific anti-codon) for a particular amino acid; and 'wobble' base-pairing, i.e. permitting non-standard base-pairing at the 3rd anti-codon position. Lineage: Eukaryota; Metazoa; Chordata; Mammalia; Rodentia; Sciuridae. The record is from Rfam by way of RNAcentral.